UAUCGUUAAAGGCAGGUGUAUUGUUUGC
This 28-nucleotide small RNA is filed under the name Bombyx mori (domestic silkworm). RNAcentral describes it as "ovarian small RNA-23721". Lineage: Eukaryota; Metazoa; Arthropoda; Insecta; Lepidoptera; Bombycidae. The record is from RNAcentral.